This 73-nucleotide transfer RNA is filed under the name Nonomuraea sp. RNAcentral describes it as "tRNA-Asn". It matches the Rfam family "tRNA". From Rfam's summary of the family: Transfer RNA (tRNA) molecules are approximately 80 nucleotides in length. Their secondary structure includes four short double-helical elements and three loops (D, anti-codon, and T loops). Lineage: Bacteria; Bacillati; Actinomycetota; Actinomycetes; Streptosporangiales; Streptosporangiaceae. The record is from RNAcentral.
UCCCCUGUAGCUCAGUUGGCAGAGCGUCCGACUGUUAAUCGGAUGGCCCGAGGUUCGAGUCCUCGUGGGGGAG